Molecule: ribosomal RNA, 466 nt
Filed under: Ovis aries (sheep)
Lineage: Eukaryota; Metazoa; Chordata; Mammalia; Artiodactyla; Bovidae
Description: partial 12S ribosomal RNA
Source: RNAcentral
AUAGGUUUGGUCCCAGCCUUCCUGUUAACUUUCAAUAGACUUAUACAUGCAAGCAUCCACGCCCCGGUGAGUAACGCCCUUCGAAUCACAUAGGACUAAAAGGAGCAGGUAUCAAGCACACACUCUUGUAGCUCACAACGCCUUGCUUAACCACACCCCCACGGGAGACAGCAGUAACAAAAAUUAAGCCAUAAACGAAAGUUUGACUAAGCCAUAUUGACCAGGGUUGGUAAAUCUCGUGCCAGCCACCGCGGUCAUACGAUUGACCCAAGCUAACAGGAGUACGGCGUAAAGCGUGUUAAAGCAUCAUACUAAAUAGAGUUAAAUUUUAAUUAAACUGUAAAAAGCCAUAAUUAUAACAAAAAUAAAUGACGAAAGUAACCCUACAAUAGCUGAUACACCAUAGCUAAGACCCAAACUGGGAUUAGAUACCCCACUAUGCUUAGCCCUAAACACAAAUAAUUAU